This is a non-coding RNA of Oncorhynchus mykiss (rainbow trout), 562 nucleotides long. The record is from RefSeq and is a predicted model, not a curated record. NCBI's taxonomy places the organism in Eukaryota, Metazoa, Chordata, Actinopteri, Salmoniformes, Salmonidae.
UACAAUUACAGUGGAAGGUAUAUGUAGUCAACACUGUAACCCAGCCUGUUAACUACAGUAGAAGGUAUAUGUAGUCAACACUGUAACCCAGCCUGUUAACUACAGUAGAAGGUAUAUGUAGUCAACACUAUAACCCAGCCUGUUAACUACAGUAGAAGGUAUAUGUAGUCAACACUAUAACCCAGCCUGUUAACUACAGUAGAAGGUAUAUGUAGUCAACACUAUAACCCAGCCUGUUAACUACAGUAGAAGGUAUAUGUAGUCAACACUAUAACCCAGCCUGUUAACUACAGUAGAAGGUAUAUGUAGUCAACACUAUAACCCAGCCUGUUAACUACAGUAGAAGGUAUAUGUAGUCAACACUGUAACCCAGCCUGUUAACUACAGUAGAAGGUAAUGUAACUACAGUAGAAGGUAUAUGUAGUCAACACUAUAACCCAGCCUGUUAACUACAGUAGAAGGUAUAUGUAGUCAACACUAUAACCCAGCCUGUUAACUACAGUAGAAGGUAUAUGUAGUCAACACUAUAACCCAGCCUGUUAACUACAGUAGAAGGUGUAUG